Molecule: long non-coding RNA, 20190 nt
Filed under: Daucus carota (carrot)
Lineage: Eukaryota; Viridiplantae; Streptophyta; Magnoliopsida; Apiales; Apiaceae
Description: long non-coding RNA (DCAR_LNC004105)
Source: RNAcentral
UUGGAGGAUAAUCGACCGGCAGUUAUAAAGCCUGUUACACAGAUUCAAACUAAGAGCACAAAUGAUUCCCAUCUAUCUGCAACUUUAUCAAACAACUCUGUGGCAGGGGUAUAUUCUUCGUCUUCUGAUCCUGUACAUGUACCUUCUCCUGAUUCCAGACCAGCUGCUAACAUUGGAGCGAUAAAGCGUGAAGUUGGGGCAGUUGGUGUACGUCGUCUGUCUACAGAAGUUUCGUCUAAAGGUUCAUCACCACAAUCUAAUUCUUUUCCUAAUACACAUUUGGGACGUGAUGGUCCGUCAAGAGAUUCAUUUCGAUCUUCUGCUUCCAUGUCUAAAACCAGCCAUCCUAGUCAAGCUCCUGUUAAUGACUCGACUUUGAAGAGUAUUCCAGUCAAUAGGCCAUCUGUUAAUAAUCAGCAGGUUAACAAACAGCAUCAAUCUGGGGGUCAUCAAAAAGGUAAUCAUUUUCUGCCGAACUGUUUCUCCUGUGUUAAUACUGUUUAGCUGUUUAAUGUCAUUCUAGCGCGGAUGCAUGGAACACAAGUUUGUAUUUUAAGUUGCCUUGUCUUGCUAUCCAUUUGUUCCAAAACUGUUUUGGAUUUUUGAUGAUUGUAAGGUAAAACUUCGAAGGUUGUUUUAGAAAUGAUAAAUUUGUAAUAUAUUAAAAAACAGAGGGAGUAUUAUAUUACAGUAGUAUGGAUGACUUUAAUGUUAGAAAAAGAUGCACACUUUUUUUUGUUUGUUUAUAUAAAUAUAUUAAUUAAAUAUGGUGUUAAUGUUAAGGGGAGAGGGUUGGCCGUGGGGGAAGUUUUUCCUCUUAUCCCAAGCCAAUCACCCUCACGAAAGAGCUCGAUUUCUAAAAAUGAAGAAGAUGCUUAAUCACUAAGAAUUGCCUGUUGCAAAUUUUAAUGUAAUGACCCUACUGCUGCCAGUUUAUGUUUGAAGGACUCCAGGCAUUUUAAAACCUUUUUCUUUUAGUCAGGAUGAAAUAUGUAUUUAGUUUUCCUAUGAACUGAUCACAAGGUCUAUGUGUAGUUUCUUCUCAUUCUAACAAGGAGUGGAAACCUAAAUCAACCCAAAAACGAAGCACCGGUCCUGGAGUUAUUGGGACGCCAUCAAAAUCUGCUUCCCCUCCCGCCGAUGCUUUAAAGAAUUCGGAAACAGAAUCAACUCAGUUGCCAUCACAUAUAGACAUCUCUGACAAUGAGAAUGUGAUUAUAGCUCCACAUAUACGAGUCUCCGCAACCGACAGGUUUCUAGUGACUUUUGGCAGUGUGGGUACAGAGUUUGAACCUUCCAGAAACCCGGGGUUCAAAGCAGUCAAAAAUGCAGAGGACCCUUUGAUCGAUCCUUCAGCAAGGUUUGUUUCUCAAAAACCUGCAGUUUACUUUUUAGCUUGCAGUGUGAGUCUUGUUGCAAGUUCUUCAUGAUUGGGAAUAUAUAUCAAUUUUGAAGCAUUAUACAAAUAGUGGUUCUUUUACAAUGUUAUUGUCUAGUUGAUUUGCAACACCCUAAUUAAAACUGAUAAGGUGAGAUGUAUGACAGUGUAUCAGUUGCUACUCCUGAGUCUUCUGGUGAUGAAUCUUCUGGAAGUAAGCAAGAAGACUUGAGAGAUGAACAUGUUCGCAAUUCUGGUAGCAGUUCCCCUGCAUCUGCAGCAGUAUCUGAACAGCAAUUGACCAGUAGGAUAGAAUCUUCAGGUACUCAGGAUAUGGACAAGAAAGCAGAGGUUGAAUUGGUACGUGAUAACAGUCAGUCUCACACUUCAUCUCAGUCACAACAGCACCAGGAUCCUUCCCAGUUACCAAUUUUUUCUGUGAGUACCAUAAAUGAGUUUGUUACAUAUUGUAUGCUAUUCUAUUGGGUUUGCACUUUGGUGUUUAUAAUGUUUGUACUUGUUUCUAAAGUGAACUGUCUCACGAAAAAUGUAAUUUAAUGGGUUUGUCUAGUGUGUGCCCUUGGGCACAUGCUAAGCGCGAAACUUUAUAUGUUUGGGAGUUUUUGAUUGGAGUGGUGGUUGUAUAUGCAGGGGGGUCCACUAUUAUUAAGAUAUGAGAGCCAAUAAAAAUGAGUCAAACAUAUAAAAUUCCGCGCUUAGCAUGUGCCCAUGGGCACACACUAGGAAAACCGUAUAAUGUUCUAUUAACUAAUUAAUCGUAUUACCUAAUAAAAUGUGAACAAUGUUGCUAUUUAUUUUCUACAUUGGUAUCAACUUAUUGAUGCCGGACAAACAAAUGGUAGAAUAAUACAAAUAAAUUAAGUACAAGACAAUUAAAAACUAGGUUGUUUUCUUAAAGUAGAAUAGCUACCUCGAGCUAUCCAAUUUGCUGAAUAGAUGGGAAGGACAGGAGUUUUCAAAGAUAAAUCAACUGACACCUUAAUCAUACGGGCUAAAUGAAAAGUUGAAAACUAAGCCAGCUAUAAAAUGGGAACAUGGGAAAUAACUGGUUUAUAAACAGGAAAAUUCGCAAUAACUGCAACUUACCAAAAACAAUGAUCUCAGUGCUGGUAUUGGUCCUUGCUGGUCAUAAAAUCUCUGGAAGUGAUACACAGUUCUUAUAUCCAUGCAUCCUGUUCUGGUUAACUUAAUUCCAAUAAAUAUGUUUUUCAGGUUACUUGUGUGUAGGGUCAAGUAGUUUUUGCAUCUCCCUAGGCUAUGUUCACAUAUACGUAGAAUUUUUGUAAACCUGCCUUUGAUUUCCAAUCUCAGUCUGACAUACUGUUUUGUGGUUGUCUGUAUACAGUCUUAUGAUCCUCAGAGUAUGUAUGAUAUUCCGUAUUUUAGAUCAUCAGUCGAUGAAACUGCAAGGGUGCAAAGUAUGCAGUUUCCUCAGGAGGUAACACUUAGUUCACUUUUACUUUCAAAAUUCUCAUCUCGUUUAUAUCUCUUGCACAUAUGGGCAUGACAAAUCUAGCUCUUGAUUGCUUCUUCCUUUCUGUCUGUAUGGUUGCAGGCAAUAAGCUCACAUACAGUAAAUAACAUCCCAUCGUCCACGGUAGCCAUGGUGCAACAGCCGCAGUUGGCGCAGAUGUACCCGCAAGUUCAUCUUUCUCAUUAUGCUAAUAUUAUGCCAUAUCGUCAAUUCCUCUCCCCAGUUUAUGUUCCACCAAUGGCUGUGCCAGCAGGCUAUACUAGUAACCCUUCCUAUCCUCAUCCAUCGAGCGGCAACAGUUACUUACUGAUGCCCGGAGGUAGCUCCCAUCUGCCUGGAAGUGGGGUCAAGUAUGGAAUCCAGCAGUUCAAACCAGUCCCCACUGGUAGCCCAACUGGGUUUGGUAACUUCACUAAUCCAAAUGGUUAUCCUAUCAAUGCUCCUACUGGUAGUGCAACAGGACUUGAAGACUCGUCUAGGCUGAAGUACAAAGAUGGGAAUCUUUAUGUUCCAAAUCCACAGGUGAGCGUUUUUCAUUACAUUAUUUAAUUCUGUUCUUUCUGCAUCUGUUCAUAAUACAACAAAAGCAACUUGAUAAAUAGACUCGUAUUGUGAUAUCGGUGCUUGUUUAGUCUAUCUUGCUGCAAUAGGGUCAAGCUCUUUUAUAUCAAUGAAUUAUGUCAUGGUGGUAUCGUCAGUUCUUCACUAUUAUCUUAUCUCGGCGUAGUGGCCUUCACCUGAAUGGCUAGCUUCAAGCUCCAUUAUCCAUAGAACUAUGCCAUCACUAAUGAAGUAAUGAUAACAGUCUGAUGAUCCCUCCUGUUGCCUUUUAAUUCUGUUUAUUUGCUGUGCUAUCUUAGUUCAAUUUACUUCUUUUUUUGUAAGGUUAGUAUAAUUUACUUUAUUAUUUGUUUCCGAAAAAGUGUAUGAAUAGUGGAUUGUUUAUGGUGCCUGAUUACUUGAUCUUCGGCAGGCUGAGACUUCUGAGAUAUGGAUGAAUCCGAGGGACCUACCUACUAUGCAAUCAGGUUCAUACUACAAUAUGACUGGACAAACACCUCAUGCUGCAUAUUUGCCAUCCCAUACCAGUCACGCCUCGUUUAAUGCAGCAGCACAAUCUUCUCACAUUCAAUUUCCGGGCAUGUACCAUACUCCACAACCUGCUGGAAUCCCCAGUCAGCAUCAUCCUGCUGUGAGCGGUAAUGUUGGAGUUGGAUUGGCUGCAGGGGGGCCAGCAGCCCAAGUUAAUGCCUUUCAGCAACCUCAGCUGGGCCACAUGAAUUGGACAGGGAACUUCUGAAGGCCUUUUUAAUCCAUGAAAAUUUUAUUAAAAGGGAUGGAGCUGAUUAUCUGUGGAAGUCCUCUCUCCUCUCUUUGCCCCUUUUUUCCUCAAAAGAAAACUUAAUCUACAAAUCAAUACAUUGAGUUGUGUUUGGUCCGUGCUGGUUUAUAUCUGUGAUUCACGGGACGGUAUGUCAACCUUUAUAUGGUUGUAUGCAAGUUUAUUAGGAUUAGAGCAGGCUUUGGUUUAUAAGUUAGGCCCUAUGUUUUUAUAGCCCGACUGAAAAUAUUUCUUCAAAUGGUUAAAUUGUUUUGGAGGUUUAUCAGGUCAGAGCUGGCUCUUGGGGUUAUAAGUCUGCCCUCAAUUUUUCAGUAGUCUGUUUUUCUGAUAAAUAAUCUCAAAACAAUUUAGGGGACGUUUGGAUGGGGUGGCAAUGUGAAUGAGUAUCCCCAGGGGUGGAAAAAAUAGUUUCCUUGUCAAAUGAAAGGCUUUUUUAAUAUAUUCAUUCACUCUGCAAAACAAGAUACUGUCAGGUGUGUGUUUAGGCCUUUUUACAUGUACAUGCAUGCUAAAAUUGAUCCCCGUACAGCAUCUUAUAUUUGGCCAUGCUUCUCUAGACAUUGCCUAGGCACAAAGGCUAUAUGUGGGUGAGCUUUCGGCUUGCCUUAAUUUUAAUUAGGUUGGCGUUUCUAAUUGGAUUCUUGGUGUAUAUAUUAGGCAACUGAAAACAUAGAGAACUGAGAGAUUUUUUUUUAAGGAUUUUAGUUAGUAAUAUAGUCAUUGGAUUGAUUAGUAGUCUGUUUUACAUAUUCAAGGGUGCAUUAUUGUAACUCCAUUGUAAUUGAAACGGGCAAUAAAUAUCGUAAUUGUUCAAACCACCACAAACAAUCUGCAAUGAGUUGUCACGAUAGAUUUGCAAUCAAUAGUCAAGGUAGAUUGAGAGAAUUGCCUUGCAAAUUUGUGUGUGGUGAUUUGUUGUCUUGUAGUUGUAGCCGACUUAUGAGUAAGAUUUGUAGCAACCUCGUGAUAUAUGUUAAUACAAUAUAUUUUCCAAACUUGUCGAAGUCAUUAAGUCAGCGGUUACUAUUCUAGAUGAAUUUAACCAACAUUACACAAAAUGAAUUAAAUUGAGAAUAUGGUAGUGACGUAUUCAACUCUCUUCUAUGUCACUUUGAGACUAGUAGUCAUAUGGUGAAAAAUAAAGUUCAAAGACUUGUGGAGUUGCAGAAUUAUUUCUUAUUCAGUUGAAUUGCAGAAGAGUCUUGUUUACUGGGAUUAUAUAUAAUCAACACCUGAAGCAUAACUAACCGACAUCCUAGGAUUAUAUAUAAUUAACACCUAAAGCAUAACUAAUUGGGAAUUGGCUGAUCAUGUUAUCAGAUAAAGGCAACAUGAAAUUUGAUAGCUUGUGAAUUAGAUGAGUGCACAAAGCGUCAAUAGGUAUGAGUGAAUAAAAAACUGAUUAACCCGCCAAACCAACCCAACCCGUCUUAUUUAAGACCGAACAAACCGAAUUGUUCAUAAUCGAAAAAUAGUUGAUUUCGAUUUUUAUUAACUUAGAAUAGAUUCGGUUGGGUAAGGAUUUUUAAAUCAUUAGACCUCAUCCAACCCAACCCAACCCGUUUAUAUUAGUCCACUUAUAUGUUAAUUCAGUCUAGCAUUUGUUUAUGAUAGUUUAUAUAGUAAGUUAUCAGUCUUACAACUGGAGUUUCAAUAAGUAAACAACUAAAAUUUAAAAUAGCUCAGUAUAUGAACGUAACAUAUGUGAACAUUUAGUUUAGUUCUUAGGUUGCCCUGUGCUGGCAGUGUCCCAAGAAUUCCUCCUUUAUAUGUCAGCUAAUUUAGCUCUAGCAAGAGCAAUAUUAUAAUAUAGAUUACCUCUCAAUUUAUUAAGACAAAUGAACUCCUUUACAAGCUUCAAUUAAUUUGCAUGACAGUCAUUGGGUGACCAGUCACUGGUGUGUUCCAAGCUUUAGUCCCGGUGCUAGAUUAAAAAAUUAAAAAGGUUUUCCAAAUUUCACAAGAUCAACAGGAACAUUGAGAAUAAUUGAAUUGUGGUCCAUUAUUCGUCUAUUUUUUACCAUAAACCUUUGAUUCUGUAUGUGUAACCAACCAAUCUGCAUUACCUAUAAAUCUAUCUAAUAUUUUCAUAAUAUUACUCACAGGUUUAAGAUUAGAUCAAGUAAAAGAGCUACUGACAGUUAUGAUGCAUGCAGACUAAAAUCAACGAUACAUUCUUAUUUUAAACUCGAUAAACCGGACCCUACAUGACCUAACCUGACGUACGAAUAAUGGGGUUGAGUUGGAAAUAUUUUUCAGGGUUAACAGGUUAAAUUUUUUAUAAACCGAUUAUAUCGAGCUGGUUUAAUUUUGCCACUAACCUGGCCAACCCAACCCGUGUUCACUCCUAUCAACACGUACGAAGUCGUGAAAUUAAGCAAGUCAAAUCAAGACAUCUGUUCCAAGUUAAGUCUUGAGAACAUCUCUAAGGAUCAUCUUCUCAUAGCUUUGCCAAGUCCACUGUUCCACUUCUUAAAGUCAAAACUUUUAACUAUAAUCAAUCUGGGAGUGACUUACAUGUGAUUAUAGGUCUGUAUGUAUGUAUGUAUGUAUGUGUGUGUGUGUGUGUGUAUGCAUAUAAAUAUACACACGCGCGCACAGAGAGAGAGACAUAGAAACACACACACACACAUAUAAUAUAGAGAGAGUCUUGUUUUGUCUCGUAUUUGUGUUUGAAGUGGUGAGGUUUUUCAAUGAAAUUUCCUUAUCACGGAUUCUCUAACAUUAAAAAUGCAUUUAUAUCUCUUCAUGUAGUUUGAAACUUAACCAGUCUGUUUUUCUAGAUAGUCAUACAGCUGAAAACCAACAAUAUUUAUCCUGGACUAUAAACCCAAAUUCGGAAAACAUCCCAACUUUCACCUUAGAGAUAGUCAAAACGGAGAAACUCUACUUGUUACAGUAAAUAAGAAUGUAACGGAUAGUGUACAUACAAUCUACCUCUAAAGAAGAAAUGAUGUUUAUAAAUUUGAGAUAUUUGCUGUUCAUCUGCAUUCUCUCAUAAGAAUCAGAGAUGGAAAAAGCAAUAAUACCGUCUCUGAAAUCAUUCUCUCAACAAGUCGAGUUCAUUGAAAUUUGCUCAUCAACAACUAGAGCAUCUUGUGUUGAGUCAAACACAUCAUCAGUAUAUCACUCUAAUGAAUAGUCUAAACAAAAAAUAUGUUAUGAAUACUAUAUAAGAGAGUGCAUGGUGAGGUUAAUGAUUUUGUUUCAGAAGCAAUUAUUUUUAAAAAAAUUUGAAAUAUAAGUAUAUAUUACGUGCAAUUAGAUACUGUUAUAUCCGAAAUUUACAGAUACUACGUGAAAUAAUUAAUUAGAAAAUCAUGGGGCUAAUGUUAUGACGUCAAGUUUUGUACAUGGCCUGACACCUGCAGCAUGACGAAGACGACGUGAUGAAAAGACAUGACAAGGACUGCGGGAAGCAAGGAUGCUUGGGGCACGUGAGUGACAUGUUGUGAGGAAUCAGUCGUUGGCUAGCAUAAAUAUAGGGAUAAGUACAAGCUUCGGUUGUAACAGAAGUGAGAGACUUUGAAGGGUACGUGGAGAAAGUUUAGGCAGUAUAACGGCAACAAUAAUAUUCAAAGCUGAAGACUUGUGUAUAAAUAGGGCUGAGAUAUAUCAAAGUAGAGGAUCAGAUGAUUAGCAUCCAACACUUACAGUAUACAUUGUAACCUACUUUUCAACUUAGUGAAUUAUCUUUCUGGCUGGGCCGAGCCCACCCGCGGUUUUUACCUCACAAGGGUUUUCCGCGUCACCAAUCUUUCGUCUUAUUUACUUUAUCGCACUUUAUUUUGAUUCGCUUAUAUCGUUAUAUUAGCUUGGCAUUUAACUCACAAAAUCUGGUUAAAACAAUUGGCGCCGUCUGUGGGAAACUUGUCAAGCAUUCAACAUGGCAACGGGAGACCAGCAACACAGCGAAUCAGCGAGUCAGAAUGACAACCCUACGAUACGGCAAAUGGCGGAGACAAUCAAGAAACUACAAGCUGACGUGAAUGCCCAACAGGAAGCAUGGAGAACUGAGAGGGAUACGCUCCACUCCCAAACCCAGGCUCUACAAAGAGAGCUCACGACAGUUAAAUCCAAAUCAAACCCCAUAUCGAAGGGAAGCCUGAAAAGCGUGGCCAGACGGUUGAACAUGGACGAUGAUGGAGAGGAGGAGUACGACGAGAAGAUCGAGGUGGAGAACCCUGAAGAGGGGAAUCCAGAAAUCAACGACGAGGACCACGACGAAAGGGGUGACAAGGGUCAUGACAGUGGACAAGGACGAAACGAGGGGAACAAAAAGAAGAAAAAGACACGUAGAUCUUCCAAAUCACGUAGUCAUGCAACGGAGGCAAUGAAGAAAGAACUACAUGAUCUAAAGGAGACGUACACAGACGAGAACAAUUCAUAUUCGUCUCAUCACGUCUAAACGGGAACCAGUAAAUCACAUGUGACGCAACACGACCAACAAGACAUGGGUGACAUCUACACGACAAAAAAAACACCACAGAGGACAUGACGUGACACCAAAGAGAGAGACCGCCAUAAUUGAUUUUUUGACAGAUGAAUGGACAGCUUCGCUUGGGAACACGACAACACGAUGGGUAGCAGCCUCGACUUGAACAUACACAAGUUAAAUGAUGACAAGUCAAGCCACAUACAUGUCAAAUGCAAAUCAAACAGAAUUAAGAUAAUCAAUCGCAAAAGAGACAACUAAUUCAAAAAAGGACAUGAUACAUGAAGUCGAGUAUCAAGAAUGACUAGCAAACAUGGUGACAGUAUAAAAAUAACACCACGACAGUUGGACAUAAAGUCUUGACAUGAUGAUCGACGUGACAGCUAGACAUGAACUCUAGUAACAUAACAGAUCAUGUCAAAUACAUUAUCACCUAUGAGCCACAAACAACGAUUGACUCACAAAUUUUGUUAAUUUUGUGGCUAAUUUCAAUCCAAGUCUUCUAUCUCAACAGGACAUGACGACUUAUCCUAAAAUCGCCACAAGGGGACAAUAUAGCAUACCCAAAGCACGAUCGACAUCACUGGUUCAACAUGAUGUGAAGUAAAAAGACAUGACAUGACCACGAAGGAUAAACAUAGACGAAAGAAUCAAAAAUGGACUAGUUGUUGAGACAAGUCGAAGAAACUUGAUUAAUGUCAACUCGACGACAUGGGACACGAAGGUCAACACUAUGACAGAACAUGAAUCAUUGACGCCUCUAGAGGUGUCCGACGUCUCCCAUCUGAUUCAACAAUACAUUACAAAUUACAAGUCCUCAGGGGCUCGAACAUGCUACUUUUAAAACUUUAUCACAUGUAAGUGAACUCAUCCUCUUUAUUCUCUUAGCCUUAGCAAUAUGAUAAUAAGUUGAUUACGAUCUUUACUUGGUCUUAUGCCAUUUAGAUGAUAUUUCAUGCUUCGUGUAAAUGUUUGUUUGAAUGAUUCAUGAUAUAAGCAUUAUGAUUCACAUGCUUGUUUCCUAUAUGACUUGCUACUCUACUUGAUUUGAUAUGUGUGUUGAAAUAUGUUAUGCAAGUUGUUGCAAAUAGUCUUCAUGUCUAACUGCAUAAAGUUGACAUCUUCAUCAUGAUAUUUAUUGUGACAUGAUAUUGCAUGAGUAUAUUUUAGAUACAUAUUAAUAGACAAGGAGGGCUGAUCACCCAUCCUACUACGGUUGAUCAUUAUCGAAUGAUGGUGACGACAACACUACACAUUACACAAAUAACUUACGACGCUACGAAUAAUGAUGCAUUUCAACAUUAUGUAUAUAAACAUUACAUAAUCACAAUUACAAUUACGAGCUAAGUUUCAAGAGGGAAAGGCCUUUUAACUAGCCUACGAAUGCAUGCAUCGACGUUUGAAAAUAAACAAAUUUGUCGAAUACAUCAACGAUUGAAAAUUAUAUAUAUUUGUCGAAUAGGGCUAAUGUUAUGACGUCAAGUUUUGUACAUGGCCUGACACCUGCAGCAUGACGAAGACGACGUGAUGAAAAGACAUGACAAGGACUGCGGGAAGCAAGGAUGCUUGGGGCACGUGAGUGACAUGUUGUGAGGAAUCAGUCGUUGGCUAGCAUAAAUAUAGGGAUAAGUACAAGCUUCGGUUGUAACAGAAGUGAGAGACUUUGAAGGGUACGUGGAGAAAGUUUAGGCAGUAUAACGGCAACAAUAAUAUUCAAAGCUGAAGACUUGUGUAUAAAUAGGGCUGAGAUAUAUCAAAGUAGAGGAUCAGAUGAUUAGCAUCCAACACUUACAGUAUACAUUGUAACCUACUUUUCAACUUAGUGAAUUAUCUUUCUGGCUGGGCCGAGCCCACCCGCGGUUUUUACCUCACAAGGGUUUUCCGCGUCACCAAUCUUUCGUCUUAUUUACUUUAUCGCACUUUAUUUUGAUUCGCUUAUAUCGUUAUAUUAGCUUGGCAUUUAACUCACAAAAUCUGGUUAAAACAAUUGGCGCCGUCUGUGGGAAACUUGUCAAGCAUUCAACAUGGCAACGGGAGACCAGCAACACAGCGAAUCAGCGAGUCAGAAUGACAACCCUACGAUACGGCAAAUGGCGGAGACAAUCAAGAAACUACAAGCUGACGUGAAUGCCCAACAGGAAGCAUGGAGAACUGAGAGGGAUACGCUCCACUCCCAAACCCAGGCUCUACAAAGAGAGCUCACGACAGUUAAAUCCAAAUCAAACCCCAUAUCGAAGGGAAGCCUGAAAAGCGUGGCCAGACGGUUGAACAUGGACGAUGAUGGAGAGGAGGAGUACGACGAGAAGAUCGAGGUGGAGAACCCUGAAGAGGGGAAUCCAGAAAUCAACGACGAGGACCACGACGAAAGGGGUGACAAGGGUCAUGACAGUGGACAAGGACGAAACGAGGGGAACAAAAAGAAGAAAAAGACACGUAGAUCUUCCAAAUCACGUAGUCAUGCAACGGAGGCAAUGAAGAAAGAACUACAUGAUCUAAAGGAGACGUACACAGACGAGAACAAUUCAUAUUCGUCUCAUCACGUCUAAACGGGAACCAGUAAAUCACAUGUGACGCAACACGACCAACAAGACAUGGGUGACAUCUACACGACAAAAAAAACACCACAGAGGACAUGACGUGACACCAAAGAGAGAGACCGCCAUAAUUGAUUUUUUGACAGAUGAAUGGACAGCUUCGCUUGGGAACACGACAACACGAUGGGUAGCAGCCUCGACUUGAACAUACACAAGUUAAAUGAUGACAAGUCAAGCCACAUACAUGUCAAAUGCAAAUCAAACAGAAUUAAGAUAAUCAAUCGCAAAAGAGACAACUAAUUCAAAAAAGGACAUGAUACAUGAAGUCGAGUAUCAAGAAUGACUAGCAAACAUGGUGACAGUAUAAAAAUAACACCACGACAGUUGGACAUAAAGUCUUGACAUGAUGAUCGACGUGACAGCUAGACAUGAACUCUAGUAACAUAACAGAUCAUGUCAAAUACAUUAUCACCUAUGAGCCACAAACAACGAUUGACUCACAAAUUUUGUUAAUUUUGUGGCUAAUUUCAAUCCAAGUCUUCUAUCUCAACAGGACAUGACGACUUAUCCUAAAAUCGCCACAAGGGGACAAUAUAGCAUACCCAAAGCACGAUCGACAUCACUGGUUCAACAUGAUGUGAAGUAAAAAGACAUGACAUGACCACGAAGGAUAAACAUAGACGAAAGAAUCAAAAAUGGACUAGUUGUUGAGACAAGUCGAAGAAACUUGAUUAAUGUCAACUCGACGACAUGGGACACGAAGGUCAACACUAUGACAGAACAUGAAUCAUUGACGCCUCUAGAGGUGUCCGACGUCUCCCAUCUGAUUCAACAAUACAUUACAAAUUACAAGUCCUCAGGGGCUCGAACAUGCUACUUUUAAAACUUUAUCACAUGUAAGUGAACUCAUCCUCUUUAUUCUCUUAGCCUUAGCAAUAUGAUAAUAAGUUGAUUACGAUCUUUACUUGGUCUUAUGCCAUUUAGAUGAUAUUUCAUGCUUCGUGUAAAUGUUUGUUUGAAUGAUUCAUGAUAUAAGCAUUAUGAUUCACAUGCUUGUUUCCUAUAUGACUUGCUACUCUACUUGAUUUGAUAUGUGUGUUGAAAUAUGUUAUGCAAGUUGUUGCAAAUAGUCUUCAUGUCUAACUGCAUAAAGUUGACAUCUUCAUCAUGAUAUUUAUUGUGACAUGAUAUUGCAUGAGUAUAUUUUAGAUACAUAUUAAUAGACAAGGAGGGCUGAUCACCCAUCCUACUACGGUUGAUCAUUAUCGAAUGAUGGUGACGACAACACUACACAUUACACAAAUAACUUACGACGCUACGAAUAAUGAUGCAUUUCAACAUUAUGUAUAUAAACAUUACAUAAUCACAAUUACAAUUACGAGCUAAGUUUCAAGAGGGAAAGGCCUUUUAACUAGCCUACGAAUGCAUGCAUCGACGUUUGAAAAUAAACAGAUUUGUCGAAUACGACAACGUUUGAAAAUUAUAUAUUUGUCGAAUACAUAUACUACAUGCAUCAACGUCUGAAAAUUAUAUAUUCAUCGAAUAUAUAUAUUUGUUGAAUACAUAUACUACGUGCAUCAACAUUAUAUUUGUCGACUACAAUUACGCGUAUUACAAGUUCAAAUACAUCAACGUAUUUAACAUACAUGUCGAAGAAAACUCCACAAAAUCACGCAAGUCACGACCCUUGGUCGAAUACAUUACACAUGAAUUACAACCUACAUUUUUACAUGUCAUCACUUACGCGUGUCAUGACAGAUUGCAUUGACUACAUGUCACACAUUACAAUCACAAGUGACAUAUACGGUUACAAACAACAUAUCACGUUAUGAUGACUAUUUACGCAUCAUUGUCUAUAAGUUACAUAUCAUGGACNGCUGGGCCGAGCCNCCGAAGACAUACUACAAAACACUUUACGUGUUAGUACAUUACAUUACAAUCACUCCAAAUUAAAAGGGUCGAAUGAACCAAUUUCAAGCCAUAGACGCAUAGGAUUAUGAUGUCGACAAUGACAAAUAUGUGACACCUUGCACAUGUCAGAAAUAUCUAUAAGGGACUUUACAAAUAUAAUGCAAAGCAACGUCACAACUUGACAUGUUAAUACUAUAGGGUUGUCCGACGGGUUGACUGGGGCUGUCCGAUGGAUAGGCUGGGGCUGUCCGACGGGUAGGCUGAGCUGAAAAAACACGUCGCUCAACACACAUAAGUGAUGUCUAUGGAACUGAAGCUGUCUUGACGCCAUAAGUCAUGACAUCGACGGCAAGAUACGAGUUGUAAACAUAUGACGAGAGGAUGCACUAGCACAUGACAUUGACGUUAUGGAUGGACUAAGGGAAAUAACAAAGUACGGCUGGAGUCGUACCGACAAAAGGUAGAAAACGCCUACAACAAACAUGUUCAUGUCAAGACAUUUAACGUUGGCGACUUGGUCUUGCGGAGGGUAUUUCAGAAUACUAUGGACAUGAAGGCCGACAAAUUUGCUGACACAUGGGAAAGGUCCUACCUUGUUGACGCUAUAGUUGGGCGCGGAGAAUAUCAGUUGUCAACCUUAUAUGGAAUUCAGAUACACAUGCUAACGUCAAACAAGGAAACGCUUCGUAUGAUUUGGGGAGAUUUUAUUAAUUAAUUAAAUUAAUAAAAUCUGGGGCUAUUGUUAUAUCCGAAAUUUACAGAUACUACGUGAAAUAAUUAAUCAGAAAAUCAUGGGGCUAAUGUAAUGACGUCAAGUUUUGUACAUGGCCUGACACCUGCAGCAUGACGAAGACGACGUGAUGAAAAGACAUGACAAGGACUGCGGGAAGCAAGGAUGCUUGGGGCACGUGAGUGACAUGCUGUGAGGAAUCAGUCGUUGGCUAGCAUAAAUAUAGGGAUAAGUACAAGCUUCGGUUGUAACAGAAGUGAGAGACUUUGAAGGGUACGUGGAGAAAGUUUAGGCAGUAUAACGGCAACAAUAAUAUUCAAAGCUGAAGACUUGUGUAUAAAUAGGGCUGAGAUAUAUCAAAGUAGAGGAUCAGAUGAUUAACAUCCAACACUUACAGUAUACAUUGUAACCUACUUUUCAACUUAGUGAAUUAUCUUUCGAGCUGGGCCGAGCCCACCCGCGGUUUUUACCUCACAAGGGUUUUCCGCGUCACCAAUCUUUCGUCUUAUUUACUUUAUCGCACUUUAUUUUGAUUCGCUUAUAUCGUUAUAUUAGCUUGGCAUUUAACUCACAAAAUCUGGUUAAAACAGAUACCAAUUAUUGUUAUAAAAAUAAAUAUAUGAUAAAUAUGAAAAAGAUAUUAAAAAAGUAGUUGAUUAUAUUAAUCGGAAUAUAAUGAUAGUUAAAAUAAUUAGAAAAUUUUAAGCAAAAUUAUCGUGUACAAAGCAGGUACGCCUGAUUUAUGUAAAGUGAAAAAAAGAGAAAAAAAUAAGAUGAGAAGAAAGAUCCGACCCGAAUAACAGUGAAUGGGCUGGUCUAGUGAGCAUCAGGAGGUAAUUUGGUUUUCAAAACCCUUGUUUGCGUCCCAUAACUCUUUUUGAGCCGUUCUCAACUAUUAUAUAUAAACACACACAAUCACUCAAAACCCAUUUGAAAUCGAAUGCAACUCGCUCUUCUAUUGGCUCUGUUAAACCCUGUUUUGAUAUUGGAUUACUAUCCCAACUGGGUUGUUUUCAAGUAUCUCAAAGAUGGUGUCUUCUUCCUCAACUUCAAGAAUUGAUGGGGGCCCUCAAAUACUGUCUGCUGGCGUGAGAAAAACAAUCCAAUCCAUAAAAGAAAUCGUGGGUAAUCACUCUGAUGCUGAAAUUUAUUCCACCCUUAAAGAGACUAAUAUGGAUCCUAAUGAAACUGCCCAGAAAUUGCUCAAUCAAGGUCCCCUUUUUUUUCUUGGUUUGUUCACUGUUUUCUUGAAUCAGUUUUUAUUUUUAGUUUAGUUGCAUGCUAAUUUGGUGUUUUUUUUGGGGUUUUAUAGCCUUGGUCACUUGUUUCGUGUGUCCUUAAAGCUUUUGUUUUUAUUGGUGUUUUAACGAUUAUUUUGUAGAUUUUUGGUCUGUGUAUAUGCUUAGCAUAUGAAAAAUUAUUUACGAAAGUGAAAAUGAUAACCUGUUUUGAUUGCAUUUGUUAAUAUCGAGACAUUUAAAUGACCUUUAUUAUAAAGUGUAGAAGGACUGUUUUAUUUAGCAUUCUUCCUAGUAUGAAGUUUUUUAUAUAUAAACAUUUAUAGGACAAAUUAGAAUAAGGGAUGGAUAAUCAGUAAGUUUGGCUUGUUCAAGAAUGCGAUAUGUCAAUGCUUAAAUUUUCUAAAGUUUUGAUGCAAGAUUAGUAUUCAGUGGCUUAAUAAUCUUUUCGAGUGAGGAUACUGAGGAUUGUCAUAAAUUAGUUUCCACUUUAUGGAUUAAUUAUGAAAGCAUGAAAAUGCAGAGAUUGGGGGUGGGGGAGAUAUGACAUAUCAAAACAUUAUUAACAUAUGCAUGAUGUUGUAUGUGGCAACUGGCAAUAGUUUAAGAAUAGGAGUUCUGUUCAAAUUAAAUUCCGUCGUCCAAGACAUCACUUCUGCAUGCAUGGUUGUUAGAACUUAAAACUGAGUUGAUGGCGGUAGAAGCAGGACCUGCUCAUGAAUCACCACAAUCCCCCAAGUGCGUAGUUUAUGGGGCAGGUAAAGACUUAAGAAGGAUUCUAUUAGUUAUCAAGAUUCCCAAAUGAGUAUAUCCAAAUUUUAAAAUAUCUUUGUAUGUUAUAUAGAUUUUGGAUUACACAUACAGAUGAAACUGCCCAGAAAUUGCUCAAUCAAGGUCCCCCCUUUUUUUUCUUGGUUUGUUUGUUUACUGUUUUCUUGAAUUGUUUUUUUUUUUUUUUUAGUUUCGUUGCAUGCUAAUUUGGUGCUUUUGUUGGGGUUUUAUAUUUUUUGGUCACUCGUUUCAUCUGUCUUCAAAGCUUUUUUUUUAUUGGUGUUAUAAUGAUUUUUUUGUAGAUUCUGGGUCUGUGUAUAUGCUUAUCAUAUGAAAAAAUUAUUAAUGAAAAUGAUAAUCUGUUUUAAUUGCAUUUGUUAAUUUCGAGACAUUUAAAUAAGCUGCUCAUGAAUCACCACAAUCCCCAAGUGCGUAGUUUAUGGGGGCAGGUAAAGACUUAAGAAGGAUUCUAUUAGUUAUCAAGAUUCCCAAUAUGAAUAUAUCAAAAUUUUAAAAUAUCUUUGUAUGUUACAUUGAUUUUGGAUUACAGUAUUACACAUACACUUUUAAAUAAUAAUGUAUACUCCCUCUAUCCCGGUGAGUAGUAUACAUUUUGGACAGAGAGCUCGGUACGCAGUAUAAGGCUCUUAAAAAAUUUAGUUUUAUGAAUUUUUUUAAAAAAAUAUCUUCAAAAUAAAAAUUUAGUGUUUACAUUUUUAUUCAGAAACAAAAAUUUUAAAAUAAGUUACAGAAAUCUAUUUCAUAGGAACGUUAAAAUGCUUGUCAAGCAAUGCAAAAAAAACUAUUUAGAAUUGAGUGGGACGGAGGGAGUAAUCAUUUACAACUAACUUAGUUACUAUCUGCUCCAGCCGGAUGUAUUUAUGAGAUGGGGGUCUCGUUUUGAAUAUUCGCUCCAAAUGCUAGCAAAGAUGGCAAAUCAAUGAUUGAAAACUUGAAUAUUGUUGUAUAGAGAAUUGGUCUUUAUCAAUUUUUAACAAAUGGUGUGUGGCUAUUUAUAUCAUAAAAUCAUAUUAAAAGUAACCAUUCUUCUUUCUUUGCUAAUUGAACACACACUACUCAUAUUUGCCUUUGACAAGGGUUGAGCCCUAAAUUUCCUGUAAUUGGGUAAAGGGAAGUACCCUUAACUAGAACCCUUUGGUAAUACUAGCUAUAAUUCAUUUCUAUUGAUUUCCGUACAUAUUAAUAUCGAGAGAUUUUUGUGGCUAGUUAGAUUGUUCCUUAUCAGUUGCAUUAUCAGAUUACUUCUGAUGAUUAUUCAAUUUGGAUUGUGAAAGUUAAUGAUUUAUAUUUGCUCUGUUUUCUUCUGUUUGAAUGUCAUUUUCUGUGGUUAUAUACAUCUGAUAUGGAUGCAAGAAUUAUUUGGACUGUUUCUGCUCAAUUUUUUUCAGGUUAUAUGGUAUUUUUACUUGAUAAUUAUUUUGUUACAGGAUGUAAUGUGGAAAAAUUUGUACAUUGUAGCACGAUACCUUUUUCAUUGCUUUUAUGUUAUCAUUUCGUCUGUUUUUGAUUGUCCCUUUGCGUUUUCUCAUAUUCAGAUCCAUUUCACGAGGUCAAAAGAAAAAGAGACAAGAGGAAAGAGGUAUCACUUUUUACUGAAUUGUAUGACAUGUUCUUCUUAAUUGAAAAUUAGUUUUUUAUCUUAUGUUUAUUGUUUGUCAUGCAUUCUUGAUAUUGGCAUCCCGGUGGUAGAAAAAUAUCUAAUAUUGCACUAGCCAUCAUAAAACUGUACCAUGAUUACUAUCUUAUUUUAAAAAGCUGAUAAUAAUACUUAGAUGGGUUUUCCUUACUUUAAGAUAUGGUUCAUACAAAGUGUUUGUGUCAGGUUACAAUGAACGUGGGGCAUACUGCAUCACAACAGAAAAAGCACAGUGAAUCAUUAAAUCAAGGGAGCAAACACACUGCACAUUCUGAUCACAGUGUCAGUGGCAAAGGAAUUAUCCGGAAUUCUUUGCCGGGUAAAAAACCUUUACUCUUAUAUUAGAUGUUCAGAUUUCUUUGUGUUCCAGCUUUGCUGAUGUAAUGUUAAAGAUGUAGUUCAUUUGGAAAAUGUAUCGUGUAUAUUGAAAUAGCAUUGCUUAGUAGGCGUUUGGAUCAUCGAUUGGAAUGAGAAUGAAGGGUAUGAAUAUGGUGAUAAAUGUGAACAGAAAUUAUAUAAAAUCCCAGGGAAUGAUUAACCUACCUAAUGGGGAUGGCUGAAUGAGGUUCCCAUUCCAAGCAACCAAAUUGCUUACCCAAACACUAACGUACAGGAUUGAGGUUCUGAUUCCUGCUAUACGGGCUCAUUAACUAUGAAUAAACCACUUAGGAUAUGUGUAUGGAUACCAAAUUGUUAGACUCCAUAGAUAUUAAGUUAUUCUGUAUACGGAUACUAAGUUGUCAUACUUCUGCUUUAGUCUAGUUCACUUAAUUACUUCUGCUCUAGUCUAGUUAUGUUAAUUGGCAAGAACUUUUUUCUGUUGGUUCAAACACUUUAUGUCCCGACCUACCUGUAUAUGGCUCUUGUGUUUUUUAAUUGUCUUAUUGAUCUUCAGUUCUCUUUUACCUAUUCAUGCAUGCUUACUUUCAUACUCUGUCACGAAUUAAAGGUUCCUGAAGUGAUUUUCUGUAACUUUUUGGUAACUUUCUGUGUUUAGAGACUAGAAGUAACAGAAUAACUAGAGAAACAGAUAGAAUCAAGAGAGGAACAGAGAAACUAGAUGAGAUUCAGAGCGCGAUUCCAGAAAAAAGAGAAAGAAAAGCAUAGAACAGAGAAUAAGACAUAGAAACGCUAGAGAGAGAUGAAGUAACAGAUUCUGUUAUAUAGAGAGAAGGAAGUGAUGGGAAUGUACGUAUCAUAUAUUCAUCAUAAUCUAAAAUGGAAACAUUAUGUCAGGAAUGGCUUAUCUUAGUUGCAGUUCUUGCUAAUAGUAGUAGAGUCUUACUAUAUACUUAUCAGUAUCAACACAGUAGUAUACUUUAGUAAUUAUAGUUGUGCCACUUCAUUACUAGAAGUUAGUUUGCCUAUAAAUACUUGAUAGGCUUUGUAUUUCCAGUUAUGUUGAAUAUAUGAAAUGGAAUGAUUUCCACCAAUCCACUUUCUCUCUCUGUAACUGAUUCUCAGUUUCUCUGUAGGGUUGCUAACCCCAUUUUAUCUCUCUGCUCAAUCUCUGUCGUUUCUGUCUUUUCUGUCUCUAUCUCUCUCAUGUCUCUCUGAAUUCUCUCUAACUGACUCUAUUUGAGCUGUUAUCUCUACUUUACUUGUUCCUGCCUUUUAUCAACAUAAAACAUUGAAAAUAGUCUCAAACAGCUCAGGAUUCCCCCAAUUCCUGACACAUUACAAGGGUAUUUAUAGUAGUCUGCUACUUGCCCCACUUAACUAACUAAAGAAAGGGCAAAGUACCCCUCUUACUAUACCCUACCUAUACAGUAGAUUAAAACUGUCUUUCCUAUCAGCUCUGCUCAUUUAGUAGUACUCUAUGUUGAAUUUCAUUCUUCUGUUGUGUAACUCUUGGUAUAUUUAUCUGAGAUUCUUCAUUAGGUCGUUUAUAAUAUAGGCUAUUAACAUUUUUAUUAUUUGUUAAUUGUUGUUUUCUUAUGAUAGAUGCAAAGGCUAGCAGAGAGUUCCGUGUUGUGAGGGACAAUAGGACUAAUCAUAAGCCAAGCAGCAAGAUAAAGCCUCCCUUGCAAAGCCAAAUAUCUUCAAAUGAACUAGAAGUCCCGAAGUUUGCCAAUAAGAGGUACUGUAUAUGUCUCGUGGCUUUUUUUUUUCCCUUUACAAAAAUUUACCAUUCUAGGAAUGUAUUGAUCGGCUGGUUUAGUUUUUUUCUUUGGUUAAAUCUCCUACAUUUACUUGGGGCCUGCACGCUUGAAGUUCCCUGAAUGAACCUAAGGAUUUCCUGGAGUUCUACAUUUCCUCGUCUGUUUGUGUAUAAAUAUGUUAUUUAUUUCCCUUCUCAGCAGCUUGAACGUGACUUCUAAUGAGCAGAAACAGACAGUUGUGCGUCAUCUAACUAAAUCUUCAAAUGGAACGACUGAGACACAGCCUAGGCAGCCAAGGGUUGUUCAGAUUAAUAAUAAGAAAGAAUCAUUGGAGGAUAAUCGAUCCGCAGUUAUAAAGCCUGUUACACAGAUUCAAACUAAGAGCACAAAUGAUUCCCAUCUAUCUGCAACUUUAUCUAACAACUCUGUGGCAGGGGUAUACUCUUCAUCUUCUGAUCCUGUACAUGUACCUUCUCCUGAUUCCAGACCAGCUGCUAACAUUGGAGCAAUUAAGCGUGAAGUUGGGGCUGUUGGUGUACGUCGUCUGUCUACAGAAGUUUCUCCCAAAGGUUCAUCACCACAAUCUAAUUCUUUUCC